RNAcentral lists this ribosomal RNA (802 nucleotides) under uncultured bacterium. RNAcentral's name for it is "bacterial SSU rRNA". It matches the Rfam family "Bacterial small subunit ribosomal RNA", at positions 8 to 796 of the family's 1533-position model. The record is from RNAcentral.
AGAGUUUGAUCAUGGCUCAGAAUCAACGCUGGCGGCGUGCCUAACACAUGCAAGUCGAACGAGAAAGUUCGGUGUUGUAGCAAUACAAUACUGGGUGAGUACAGUGGCGUACGGGUGAGUAACACGUGGAUAACCUACCUCCGAAUGGGGAAUAACCCUGGGAAACCGGGGCUAAUACCGCAUAACAUCCUGGAACGAUAGUACUGGGAUUGAAACUUGGAAACGAGGUUUGGAGAGGGGUCCGCGGCUGAUUAGCUAGUUGGUGAGGUAACGGCCCACCAAGGCUUUGAUCGGUAGCCGGCCUGAGAGGGCGGACGGCCACACUGGAACUGAAACACGGUCCAGACUCCUACGGGAGGCAGCAGUGGGGAAUUUUGCGCAAUGGGGGAAACCCUGACGCAGCAACGCCGCGUGGACGAUGAAGCAUCUUGGUGUGUAAAGUCCUUUCGGCAGGGACGAAACCCGAGCAAUCGGGCGGACGGUACCUGAAGAAGAAGCCCCGGCUAACUCCGUGCCAGCAGCCGCGGUAAUACGGGGGGGGCGAGCGUUGUUCGGAAUUAUUGGGCGUAAAGGGAGCGUAGGGGUGCGGUAAGUUUGGUGUGAAACCUCCAGGCUCAACUUGGAGCUGGCAUCAAAAACUGCCGUGCUAGAGUGUGGGAGAGGAGAGUGGAAUUCCCGGUGUAGCGGUGAAAUGCGUAGAUAUCGGGAGGAACAUCGGUGGCGAAGGCGGCUCUCUGGACCACAACUGACGCUGAGGCUCGAAAGCUAGGGGAGCAAACAGGAUUAGAUACCCUAGUAGUCC